Molecule: long non-coding RNA, 14411 nt
Filed under: Xyrichtys novacula (pearly razorfish)
Lineage: Eukaryota; Metazoa; Chordata; Actinopteri; Labriformes; Labridae
Source: RNAcentral
GGAUGUCUUUGUGUGUUUUGGAUUAGCAUAUUUGAGGAAGGUCAGGGCUGAAGAGGACGUUUGAAAGGCCUGAUCUCUGCGCUCUCUUGAUCAGGGGCUCUGUAAACAGGAUGUGAUGACAAACGGCUCGACUCGACCCUUAAUAUCAGACGACGAGAUUCCCAUGAGCUGCAAACGAGUCGACCCAAACAUCUACAGAAAAACACGAGGGGCGGAUUCUCAAAGACGAGGAACCAACAGAUGAUUACUGAGUUCUUACAGCUCAGAGAGGACGUCGACAGGAGGACAGGUGUUCAGAGUUCACUCAGGUACAAGAUCCAGGUCCACUGAGAUCCAAGUGUUUCUAUCUUACCCGGACUAAUUUUAUCUGAUUUUAUCUGCUGACUGUUUUUUUAUUGUUUUGCCUUGUUGCUUGGUUUUUACUGUUAUUGUUGUCUUUUUGUGCACUUUGAGAUUUGUUUUUAAAUGUAAAGUGCGUUACAAAUAAAAUCUAUUAUUAUUAUUAUUAUUAUCUUCUUCAUUGAUAUUCCAGAUCAGACGCUCAGACUGCGUCAAAUGAGGGAUAAUGACACUAAACUGUGAAACAUAGAGAUACUGUCCUGUUCGAGCUGCUGCAGGAUUUUAGCCAAAAAUAAAGACCUGAUUCUUUUCUCUGAAAACUUGAUUUUCGAUUUUUUAUAUCAUGACAACUUCACCAAACUUCACUUUAAUAAAAAUAAAAAGUUUUUCUAUCGUCUCUCUAAACCAAACCACUGAAAACCAUGUAGUGUAUAUGCUGAGCCAGUAAGAGGCGCUGUAACGCUGCAGAGGAAAUGCACAAAAGACAGAAGAAGAGUACAGAGCAUGUGUAUAAAAGUUGUUUUGGCGCCAUAAAAGAGUAACCCCCGAUCUCCACCUUCAUCCUGAUCGUCUCCUAAAAGGUCGUAUCCUCCGAUCGUAGCUGAUCGUAACCAUUCAAGUUAACGUGUCAAUUUACACCGACUUCUUUCCGUUCCUCUGUGGAUCGCCGGACUCCUCAGCUGAUCACAAGAGUUCAAUUUUUUCUGGACGCCGGAGCAUGGCGGAUAAAUUCAGCACAGAUUAACCCGUGCUGGAAAGGAAGUCGGGCGCAGACACAAAAUAAAACAUCCGGCAAAAAUCGCUGCUGUUCUGGAUCGGAGCCGUUCCGUAUGCGGUGAAAUUUGGGGGUUACUCUGUGUGUCACAUGAUCGUUUCCAGAGAUGCAGAUAGACAUCCACACGGAGAUGAAAUGGUCGUCGUUUACAGAUUUAUUCACUCUCUGACCUGUUUUCAAAAAGUACCGUUUACAGUCACCUGAAACGCUGAUACAACAAAAACUUUGCGUUUCCUCCUGAAUUUGUUUCCGUGGUGACGGGUUCAUACCGCCUUCAGACAGACUUUACAGCGGGGAGUGGUUUACUCUUCAUCUGAAACUGUGAAGUCGUACCAAUUCAACACGACUGACUCGCUCUUGUCCUAUUUAACCACGAAAUUAUCGCCUUCUUUAACAAACGCCAUGUUUGUUUACACUGGUGAGUGUGGGAAGGGGGAGUCUACGGUGGCCUGGAGGUGCGAGACAUGAUAGAGAGGAAAAUCGAUUUGAGGAUUUUAACUUUUCUAACAUCGUCAUAAUUAAAUAAUCUGAUUAAAAUCGAUGAAUCGUGCAGCUCUAUGUCCCAUCACUGCUGAGUUUAAACAUGUGAAAAUAUUAAAACAUGACUUUGAAAAUGAGCUCACUGACUUCAGAUGUUAACUACAGAUACAACAAUCCACUGGAGAGACCUCCAAAAGGUGGAGGGUGGGUGGGGUUUGUUUAUUUUGGGGGUAAAUGACGGAUAUGGGACUGAAAACCAAAUCACUGUGUUAGUCCUGACUUUAUAAAUGAUGAUUGAGAAAAUGUUUUUGUUUUCUUUCAUUUAGUUGAACUGCCCCUUUAAUCUUGUUGAAUUCUUUCCCUUUAACAGUCCCGGACACUCUCCAUCUGAAUGAUAUUACCUUAAUUAAUGGUUAAUUACAGUAAAUAGCAGCCGUUUAAUCAUAAUUAGGAUCCUGAACUGUUGAAUGUCAACAUAGCGGUGUCACUUCUCAUUUCUCUGUUUAUUCAUUACAAGAGAGAAAAAAAGAAAAGGACGGAUGACGGAGGGCGAGUGUUUCUCUCUCUGUGGUCGGGUCAGGGCAUUAAUUAAUCCCACCGUGACAAGAGAGGGAAUAUUAAGCAGCUCAUUAGACCUGACGGGACAUAAACGAGUGUGAGGAGGAAUAAAUGAGCGUCUCUGCAACACCUUUGAGGAGAAUUCAAGAUGUGUGUUUUUCUGCUUCAGAGAGGAAAGAAGAGGAAGUGAUGAUGAAGAAACAGAGAGAAGAAGAACAAACGCUGACUUUUUUCACUGUUUGCCUUCGUGGGCCUAAAGCUGAAAUCACCCAUUAACCUUUUGAACCUGCAGCCGCCGGAGCACAAACAGCUCGGCUCUGAUUCACUGCAGUCAUUAGCGUCUCCAUUAAUUCCUCAGUCUGAGUCCAGAUCCAGCAGUUUACACAGACUGAAUCAGCAGGAGUCCAGGAGCGGAGAACCCGGAUCCUCCAGAGAUCCAGUCUCGGUCCAGGUCAAACAUUUAGACGGUGAAUCAACAGACGAUUGGUGACAUUUUGAAGGUGAGCGCUCAUACACUCGGAGCUCGGAGGACUGCUGCAGCCCGGCUAUAAAAAUGCUGAAUUGCUGGAUGAUUGCUUGACCUUUGCAGCAAAGAGCUGAUGGGAAAUGAGGCGUUAAACUUAUUCUGUGUCGGUCUGAGCAUUAGUGUCCCCGCAGACCCGGUUAGACCUUUGACAGGACUGAGCGAGAACCUCUCAGGCUGUAAAAAUGAUCUGACAGUUUUACGCUCAGGUGUCGGCGCGGCGUGCUCCUGUUUGUCAAGGAAACUGCCGUUCGUUGUGUCAUCAUCCAAGGCUUCAUUAAAUCACGCUCAGAACGAUGUCACACACGCCGUAAAGAUGGACGACAUGACGGCUGUAAAGACAGGAAACACCGAAGCGGCGGAGGAUGAGGAGAGGUUUUCAUCAGCAGAGUCUCGUCUUUGUUUGUCCUGAUCGUGAUCCUUCAUUUUCACCUCUCUCUGCUGAUGAUGUUGUUCUGUUCUUCGGACUAGGAUUUGGCAGUUUAAAGAGAUAUUCCGGCGUAAAAUGAAUUUAGGCUCUAAGUUAGACCCCCUCCCCCAGAGAUGAAUGUUGUCGACCGCUUACUUCUCUAGUUAUACCAACUUUAGUAACGACCGCAGGAUAGCAAUACAGAGAGACACGCACUCAACCAAAACGCCACUCUAUAGCCACAAAUAAUGCUCAGAACAGCACCUAACUUCAUCAACAGGACAUAUAGGGUCACAGACAUAGUACUAUAUUCAGAGUUGUUCUAACUCCUAAGAAAACAUGAACUUAAGCGGGGGCGUUUCUCCACUUCUGUAGUCUGUAAGCUGGACCAAAAACUUCUACUGUAGUAAAAUGAAAAGGUAAAGGUGUUUUUAUUGAGCCGAAUUAUCAAUAAAAUCAUGAUUUUGUUAACAGGUAUGGAUUUAUGUGCUGUUGAGUUAAUAUAUUUGAACAAGAGCACAGUAAAGUUAAAUCAGCUAAUUUUCCAAUGAGGUUCUGUUACUGAACGGAACUACAUCAUGAUCUACUGAGGUUAGUACAUAUAGGGUCACAGACAUAGUACUAGACACCAAACAUCUUUUUAACUUUAGCAAAGAGACUAAACACAACUCACCUACUCUCUUCCAGCAGACGCUUGUUUGUAGAGAGACCUCAGGCCAGUCCAUUACAGACUACAGCGGGGUGCUGCAGCUCAAGGAAGAACAUUUAUGAUCAUUUCUUCAUGGAAAUGCAAUCAGACCGAGACGCUAAGACAGAAGAACUACCGCGUCUGUAAAAUGAUUAAUAUGGUGAUUAUUACUUCAAGGAAAUGAUAAAGAAAUGAUCAUAAAUGUUCUUCCUUGAGCUGCGGCACCCCGCUGUAGUCCGUAAUGGACUGGCCUGAGGUCUCACUACAAACAAGCGUCUGCUGGAAGAGAGUAGGUGAAUGUUUCAGUUAAGCGUGGCUCUAAGUAUUACUGUCCUACAGUUGUUACUUAAGUUGGUAUAACUAGAGAAGCAAGCGGUCGACAACAUUCAUCUCUGGAGGGGGGGUCUAACUCAGUGUUACGGUGGGUUUGACUCUACAUCAAUUUUACAGCGGAAUGUCCCUUUAAGAGGUUCUGAUCCGUUCCCUGUUUAUCCACCGGUGUGUUUAAGGUGAAAACAUGAAUCAAAGUGUGUCUGUUUUCAGUCUGUUUAAAAGUCAGACGUUCCUUCAGGCAGUUGUUUUAUUAAAUUUACAUUUCAGACCUUUUGAUUAAAUUCUGUGUAAAUGUGAGAGUGUGCAUGAUGGAGAGCUGGGUGACGGUUUUCUGGGUAUAACCAAGAGUGUGGAGGUCACAGGUUCAUUUUGGUUGAAAAACUCUAAUGUAGUGGUUUUUAUUUAUCUACGCCCACUUCCCCUAAAAGAUCAGCAAACAGAGACAGAAAUAUCUACAGUGCAGGACAGAUAAAAGUAAAUAAAUGAAGUACUCACUGGACAGGUUUCAGCAGGACUUAGUCUGGCAGACGGUCACCAUGAUCCCAGGAGGCCAACAGGUUCCUCUGUAUGAUCAGACGUCCCCUUAUAUACCCCUAAGCCCCGCCCCUGGACAAACCCAUAAACUAAUUAUCAGGGUUAAAGGCUUAAUUAUUGGCACAAUCAAACACCAAACUCAUAAAUCAGUGAUAAAUGAUAAAGAAUUAAAGGAACUUGAUUAAAGCCCUCCAUGCAGCUGUGACCUGAUUCACUCAAAACAUAAUAAACCAAAGAAAUAAAACACAAAUGAACAUUAAUGGUUUAGUCCGUGGUCACAUGACUCCAAGAAACGCGCCAACAAACGCUUUUUACGUUCUGACCAGGAAGUGUCCCGGUUUGGCUCAUGAAGACAGCAGCGACCAGUGUGUGUGUGUGUGUGAGGCGCGCAGGCCCCGAGUGUGGACCCUCGAACCUACAGAACAGAGUCCAGGUAGGAACCAGUUUGAAGGAGUACAGGGCUGCGGGAAACACUUUAAUGGAGUUUGAUUUCGCGGGAAAUGUGAGCGCACCGAGCGCGCCAAAACCCUGGGCCAAAAGAGAGAGGGAGGGCCGCGCGCCGGUCGGGGUUGACGGGGCGUUUAGAGCCGCUCUGUCGCGGUGCAUGAUGGAGAUCUGUGUGGUGGUCUCAGUCUGGAUGUUUGAGUCAUGAAGGUUUGAGGUGAAGCAGGUCUGUGACAUUCAGAGUGUCAGUUCUGCUGUGCGUAACUGUGCGUAAAAUCAGACACCGCACCAUGGAGUCCAGAGUUCAGACCAGGUUCUGGUCGGUUUUAGUCCAGUUCAGAGCUUUAUGUGGGGUCUUCAGUUGGUGGUUCAUUGACUCCAAACCAGAUCAUACCUGCCAACACUCCCGUUUUCCCCGGACUCUCCCGUAUCUCUGACCUCUCUCCCGCCCUCCUCCCGUUUUCUCGUUUCUCCCGAAGUUUGAUGGUCCACCUUCAUUCAUGGAUCUGAUCACUGGAUGUGUUUCUGCUGAGCCUCACAGACUCUGAACUGAUCCUUCACAGUUUGGGAUGAUUCAGCUCGGUUUAAGCUGUAAACUAUAUUUAAAGAGUGUUUGUAGUAAAAUGAAACAAACCUGAGACAUAAUAUUUACGUUGAUAGGAGUGAUGCGUUCAGGGCAGCCUCAGAUAACAGAGUGCUGUAUUUCACACACAGAUGUUCAGAGAGAAACAUAUGAGGACUUUAAUAUAAGUGGACUAAAUAAGUUCACAGCAUAUCAUAGAUAUUAUUUUUUAUUACCUUUUGUUAUUGUUAAAACAUAAAGUGUGCAGCUUCACUUUGACUUAUUUAGAUAAGAAACUUAAUUAUAAACACUCUCAUAAUUCGCUCAGAUCCAUCAGACAAGGGAACCUCAAAACUGACCGGCACUCGCCGCAAAAAUCUCCCAGAUUUUAUAACCGAUAUGUUUGCAGGUGUGAGGUGAUGGGUGAGGAAAGGAGAAGAGGAGUGGAGGGUGAGGAAGAGCGUGUGAGUGUGUGUGUGUGUGUGUGUGUUUGACAGUGCUUUGCUUAUUUCUAUCCUGAGCAGGUUUCCAGUUGUCGUUGAUGGCUGCUGAUUGUUUGAUGAAGAACAUGUCGAAAUGUUUAGAUAUCAGUCAGUUUUAUCUGGAGGAACCCUCAGUGCUGAGAGUAUGUCGAGUGUGUGUCUUUGUGUGCAUGUGUGUGUGCUUGUGUGUUUAUGUAUCCACAGAGUCCACCAAAGUCAGAGGAAGUUCAUUUUGUUCUGAUGUUGUUUUCAAACCUUCAUCCAUCUUGGUUUUCAAUAAUCAGCAUCAGUUCUCAUGUUUUGCUGUCAUAUAAAGUUCCUUUAGUGUUUCUGUAGGUUAAGUAAUAAAAGUCUGCCGAUGUUUUCUACCUAAAGAAGCAAAACUCACAGAUUUAUGUCGUGAAAGAAACUGAUGCAGUAGAGCCUGUAAGACCCCUCAGCCUCAGGACCGACCAUGAUCCUGAUUCCAGCGAGGUUUGAUGGAUAAAAACAACGAUUUUAUUUCUGUCAUCUUCACGUUUUCUCCUCCUGCACCUGUCUGCCGGUGGAGCCGUGUUUGUAACCGAGCUGCUCUGAAAUCUCCUCACCUGCUUUAGAAUUGGGGUCAAAGUUUUCACCGCUCUUGUUUUGUUCAGGAUAUCUGAAACACAUCAGCUGUGGACGCUCCGACAUCGGGCAGCAUCCUCCUCCUCUCUCCUCCUCCUCCUCCUCCUUGGCGGUCAGUAAUCGAUGUUUACACGGGAGGAGAAAUAGUUUGCUCAGAUCAGACGUGCCGCUGUCAGCAGGAGACGUGAGGAGGAGGAGGAGGAAGAAGUGUGUCAGCUGUGAGGGGGGAGAAACCCUGCAGAGGAAAUGAGUGAGUCUGACAGGAGAGAGAGGAGAAGAUGGACAGGAAAAGACAUGAGCAGAGAGAGAGAGAGAGAGAGAGAGAGAGAGGAAAACAUACGUGAGGGGGGGAAUUAAUGGAAAUAGAGAGAGUGGCCUGAGGCAGAGCUAAAUGCAUUAAGAGUUAGUGAAGAGCAGGAAAUGAUGUUAUUACUGAGGAGUGUGGAGGAGCAGGUUAUUAGAAAUGAAGAAUUGUCCAAACGUCUGUGAGCAGAAAUGUUCUUUUUGCAGCUCAGAGCUGAGAGAGAAACCCCAGAACUGGUUCAUCAGGAACCAGGACCACCUUUACUGGGAUCUGACCAGAAUAACUCGAGAUAACUUCACAUUAGGACUUUUCUUCUUUCUUUUCAACACAUAAUGAACAUUUCCAACGCUCUCUUUAAAGGGAUAUUCAGGCGUAAAAUUAAUUUAGGGUCAAACACACUGUAACACCGAGUUAGACCCCCCCUCCAGAGAUGAAUGUUGUCGACCGCUUCCUUCUCUAGUUAUACCAACUUUAGUAACAACCGCAGGAUAGAAAUACAGAGAGACACGCCCUCAACCAAAACGCCAACAAAAAGAGACUAAACACAACUCACCUACUCUCUUCCAGCAGACGCUUGUUUGUAGUGAGACCUCAGACCAGUCCAUUACAGACUACAGUGGGGUGCCGCAGCUCAAGGAAGAACAUUUAUGAUCAUUACUUCAUCAUUUCCUUGAAGUAAUAAUCACCAUAUUGAUCAUGUAAUCAUCAGUUCUUCUGUCUUAGCGUCUCGGUCUGAUUGUAUUUCCAUGUAGAAAUGUAUGGUCAGUGUGUACUAAAGGGUCAGAAGAUGAUUUCGAGAUGUUACCACCACUUAACCGAGUCCGUCUGAUUUAGUACCUCAUUGGAGGAACAAACUAUUAAACAUUUAAUUCCUUCCAUAAUGAAAAGUCUCUCUUGGCCCACUUUCCUUUCCACAAACUGCAACUGCACAGAGUCAACAACAAAACCGUCGUUCGCACAAUGGUAGGUGAUCACACACAAACACGUCUGCCUUUCUCUCACACACACACUCACCCUUAAACAAAUUAUUAUGUACUGAGGUCCUGCAUCAAAUACACUUGGUUCAGUGGUGGUAACAUCUUGAAAUCAUCUUCUGACCAGACAGUGUUUUCGUACGGGUCAAGUCCACUAAUGUCCAUAAUUCAGCUCAGGUAACGCUCUCUUUCUUUGUUCAGCUCGUUCCUGUACGGUCUGUUGAGUCCAAGUUUUGUUCUCUCCAUUCUGUUCUCCGUUACUGUGUAGUCAGAUAAUAAAUAGUUGGUUUUUAAAACCUAACGUCAUCAUCUUAGUGUUGUUAUGUCUGUUAAAAUGGCCGCACUGGCACGUUACGCACCACGCGCCCCCGUGCUGACGUCGGCGCUGCUACACUCCAUAGAGUGGCGUUUUGGUUGAGGGCGUGUCUCUCUGUAUUUCUAUCCUGCAGUCGUUACUAAAGUUGGUAUAACUAGAGAAGAAAGCGGUCGACAACAUUCAUCUCUGGAGGCGGGGUCUAACUCGGUGUUACGGUGUGUUUGACUCUAACUUAUAUUUAAGUUCACACCAUCUUCAUCCUGAAUCCUCAUCCUGAGUGUCCGUGUCUGAACCUGCAGCCUCCCUCCAAACGUUUCAAUAUUCUGACAGACAAUAACAGUCAAAACUCUCAGCACCUGAGGAUUACCUCCAUCUCUCUCUCCAUCUCUCUCUCUCUCUUUCUCUCUCUCGCUCUCUCUCUCUCCAUCUCUCUCUCUCUCUCUCUCUCUCUCUCUCUCUCUCUCUCUCAGUGAAAAUUCCUGUUUUGGACUCGGUUGUAGAUUUGUUCGAGCGGAUAAACAGCUCACUUCUUUUUGACACGCCGGGUUUUAAAGCUGUACUUUUUAAUCGGUUCCUGUCAGAUUCAGACGGGCGCUGAUUGAGUCGGAGGUAAUGAAAUGAGUAAUUAUGCACAUUAUAAAACAGGAGUGAAGCGUUUAACCAGUUUAUAAAAUAUGAUGCAUGCUUUAAAAUGUCACGCAUAUUCAGUCCUAAAGGCAGCGGGUGAAAAAGUAAAGUGGAGUUUACAGCGUGGGAGUUUUUCUGAAACAACAAGAACGACAAAGAAGGAGCGAUUGAGUCGAAGGGAUUUCAGUCUGUGAAAUUAACUUCUGUGAGAUCCCCAGUGUGGAGGGCCCCCACGAGGAAACUCUGGAGCUAAAAAGACUAGGACAUAGAAGGAAUUAAAAUAAUGUUAAAAUAUCUAAGUGACGUAAAAAUGUGAUAAAAGUAAAGGAUAAAAUAAACUAAAACUAAAUUAAAAUAAUGUUAAAAUAUCUAAGUGACAUAAAAAUGUGAUAAAAGUAAAGGAUAAAAUAAACUAAAACUAAAUUAAAAUAAUGUUAAAAUAUCUAAGUGACAUAAAAAUGUGAUAAAAGUAAAGGAUAAAAUAAGCUAAAACUAAAUUAAAAUAAUGUUAAAAUAUCUAAGUGACAUAAAAAUGUGAUAAAAGUAAAGGAUAAAAUAAGCUAAAACUAAAUUAAAAUAAUGUUAAAAUAUCUAAGUGACAUAAAAAUGUGAUAAAAGUAAAGGAUAAAAUAAACUAAAACUAAAUUAAAAUAAUGUUAAAAUAUCUAAGUGACAUAAAAAUGUGAUAAAAGUAAAGGAUAAAAUAAACUAAAACUAAAUUAAAAUAAUGUUAAAAUAUCUAAGUGACAUAAAAAUGUGAUAAAAGUAAAGGAUAAAAUAAACUAAAACUAAAUUAAAAAUAAUGUUAAAAUAUCUAAGUGACAUAAAAAUGUGAUAAAAGUAAAGGAUAAAAUAAACUAAAACUAAAUUAAAAUAAUGUUAAAAUAUCUAAGUGACAUAAAAAUGUGAUAAAAGUAAAGGAUAAAAUAAACUAAAACUAAAUUAAAAUAAUGUUAAAAUAUCUAAGUGACAUAAAAAUGUGAUAAAAGUAAAGGAUAAAAUAAACUAAAACUAAAUUAAAAUAAUGUUAAAAUAUCUAAGUGACAUAAAAAUGUGAUAAAAGUAAAGGAUAAGAUAAACUAAAACUAAAUUAAAAUAAUGUUAAAAUAUCUAAGUGACAUAAAAAUGUGAUAAAAGUAAAGGAUAAAAUAACCUAAACCAGUUAAAUCAGCUAAAAGCUAAACUAAAAAGGUCACGUUCUGGUCCUAAACGGGUUCUCAGUGCUGCGUGUAAACCCCGGGUCUUCAUUUAUCAACGGAGCGUAGGAAAGGUUCUAAAUGAAAUAUCGAAUCUGCGUUAGAACAAAAAAUACGUAUUUCUCACGUGGACACGGUCGUACUCAAACUAGUCAGUCAUGGUUAGGGUCAUUAACAUUAGACACGCCUCCAACUGACCAUAUAUGGUAUCAACUAUCCCUUUAAAAAUGCCUGAAUGGAUUUUCCCCCUCGCUGAAAUCAUGGAGGUGCACGCUCACAGUCGUGCGUUCCUCCAACCUGUAACAGAUCCAUAUGAUCAUCUCAGAUUAUUGAUCAUUGAUUGAAUGAAAUCCUUGAAUUUAUCCUGUGAAGGUGCUUUUAUCACGAUGUGGCGUGAAAUCCUGGUUUUAUUCCGGCGUGUUGCUGACGUGUGUUCGAGAACUGGAUGUAAGUCGAGGUCAGAGAAAUUAUUGAUCAACUCUGCCGACAUGAUUCUGUUAGCGUUGUCUGUGAAAUGUCGUCUUCGUCUCCGAUCUCAGGCUGAAAUGUUCAGGUUAGGGUGGACAGGAGCUGGAUGGUCACCGGGAUGAUGGCGUCGAUGCGUUUUGUACAGAGGGAACAGAGAAUAUGUGUGAAGUUUGAGAUUGCUAAACGCUGUGACUCCUUUAAUGGUUCUAGUUGUAGUUUCACUGUUCGACCACUAGGGUUUGUGUGUACUCAUGCUCAGAGUUCCUAAGAACAAGUUCAGGUUGGAAAUGUUCGUUCACACGGUCGAUAAACGAGACUCCUGAACAAUAAGAGUAAAGUUUCUGCACACGUGCGUGAACCUCUUGACCCGUUGAAAACGGCGUUUUAUAAGGAGGUCAGUUUUCUCUGUGUGAGUCUUCCUGUGUCAGAAACCUCCUGACCUUUGACCUCUGUCCGAACUCCAUGAUGUUGUUGAUCUCCUCGCUGAUGUCUGCAGCUGUCUGACAGGCUGAUGAACUCGCUCUGCCCCGGGGUUCUGACAGUGAGCCGGAGCGUGACAUUCGCCCACAGCUCCUCUGCAGGACCGACCCGCCGCCCCCGCCGCCGCCGCCUUUCUGUGUGUUUGACUGACUGAUUCUCUGAGGUUUGUAUUCAGCUCCAGGAUCCUGAGGAGGGUUAUGAAGCGUGAUAUUAGACCCGCAGCUUCACAGCAGGAGACUCCAGAGUCCUAACAACCUGUGAGUAUCUUCAACCCGUCAGCUGUGACUGACAGACGAACUCAUCUGGAAAAGAAAGAGCAGCUGGAGGAGGAGGAGGAGGAGGAGGAGGAGACUGAAGCUGCUGUCCACAGAUGAUCGGAGGAGGACUCUGACCAAGAACUGAACCUCAUACAGACCAGAGAGUCCCUCAGAGCAGAUCCACAGACUCUCCGGACAGAAACAUGAAUUUCUCUUCUCUACUUUUUCUGCUGCUUCUUCAUCCUGUAAGUGUUUAAAGUGGGUUUGAUCGUUCGCUGAGUCCACCUGAGUCCACCUCUGAGAUGAUCCUGUAAUGAGCUCAUCCAGGGAGGAACCAGGUUUUCAUUAAACCUGAAAAUAGAUUUUCUGCUCAUUAAAGAUGUUGUUCAAAGGAAAUUCAUCAGAACCAGAACCUCCGUUAGAGCGGACCGGAGAGGAAAUUAAUCUGCUGGAUCAUAAUUACCACCACGGCUGUGUGUGUGUGUGUGUGUGUGUGUGUGUGUGUGUGUGUGUGUGUGUGUGUUCAGGGUGUCAGUGUGAGGUUAGCAGACAUGCAGCAGUCUUCAUUCAUUCAUUCAGCUCCUGAUAGGGUCUCAUCAUGACCGACAGAGUUCAGAUGAAGCCUCAGUAGGGCUGGGCGAUACGGGAAAAAGUUUAUCAUGAUAUAUAUAUAUAUAUAUAUAUAUAUAUAUAUAUAUAUAUAUAUAUAUAUAUAUAUAUAUAUAUAUAUAUAUAUAUAUAUAUAUAUAUAUAUAUAUAUAUAUAUAUAUAUAUAUAUAUAUAUAUAUAUAUAUAUAUAUAUAUAUAUAUAUAUAAGAGACGUGACAUUGUUGUUGGUUUUCUUUUCUUCCUGAUUUGUAUUUUACUGUCUUAUUUGAUUAAAUAAUGUUCCAAAUAAAAUUAAAAAAAUAAAUAAAUAAAAAAAAAAUAUAUAUAUAUAUAUAUAUAUAUAUAUAUAUAUAUAUAUAUAUAUAUAUACAUACGGGAAAAAGUUUAUCAUGAUAUAUAUAUAUAUACUUAUAUAUAUAUAUAUAUAUAUAUGUAACGUAUGUAAUAUAUAACGUCUCUUUAAAGAUAAGAGUCGGAGAAGAAGCUCCGACUCUGUGGAGGAUUUACACGAUCUGCUGAAAUCAGCUGAUCUGAGAGUUUGGGUGAAACGUCAUGAUGAUCUGAGGGUGAAUUUGAAAAGGAUCCAGACUGUAGAGGUUCAGUUUGAGAGGUUUCUUUAAUCAGCCGUGAGUCAGUAAUGUGAAGGCAGGAUCGAUUCAGAGAGACGCUCUGGUGUUCACCUGGAGAUGUUUCCUCCUGUGAUAGUUUGACAGGGUUUCAUGAACACUGAGGAGAGUUUCAGGAGCUGGAUGAAAGGGUGAGGAGAGGUCUGAUGGAGGAACAUGGUGCUGUAGAUUCAGAGGAGUCAUGGAGAAGUCACAGCGCCACCUUCAGGACUAACGUUAAUGUCGUGACUGGGGGGACACUUAAUUUAUGAAAUAUUGAUAAAGUUUUAACAGUAAACGUUGAUAGUGUUGUUUCUUGUUGCUGGUUUUUGUUUUAAAACAGAGGAUGAAGAAGCAGCAGCAGCUGCUGGUGAGUUCGCUGUAGCUCACUGACGUUUAAAGGAUCACUGUGAAUCUAAAGUCUCUUCAGGUUACUCAUAAUUUAAACUGUCAAACUUUCUAACCACAGACCAGAAAACGCUCAUACUUCAAAAUAAAAGCAUGGUUUUACAACAUUAGACAUAAAACAACCUAAAUGUAAGAUAGAGUAGAUAUCAAAAUAAGAGUCAAACCCAGUUCAGGACUCGACGGUGCGACUGUUUCACUCAGAUUUACAACUAAAAGUAGAUGUUUGUGAAUUGUAAAAUGUAUUUAGGGUCACAUGUGGGAAUAAAAAAAUCAACAAAUGUUUUUUCCUGUAAAUACGGCGGUGAAGUUAGUUUCAGGUUGGAUAUAUUUUGCUGGUAGUAAGUCAGACUCUGAGGAUGUGGUCUUGUUGGACCUUCAGUUCUCGAGUGUGAGGCGGCUGGGAUGAGAAUCAGAACCUCCAAGUCAAGAGAAUCUGUUGCCAUGGAGACGUAACCACCUCUGGAACUGGAGCGACUCUCAAUCCUUCAUCAGUUCGUCUUUAAAGUGAUGGAGUAGUUUCUGAUAAACUGGUGUUCAGUUGUGAGGACUUUUAUUUUGAAAGAACAUCGUUGUCGUCGUUGUUGUUGUUGUUAGUUUUGUCUCUCUGUUAAUCUGCAGAGUGUUUUCUGUGUAAUCCAGUGGUGAGCGUCUGAACUCUGGUGGAGCUGCAGUAAACCAACAGCUCAUCCAGGAGUCUGAUCGUCUUUGUUCUGAAACAACAAAAACGUUCAGGAGAAAGCUCCAGGAUUAGUGGAGCUGCUGUCCAACAUCAGCGUUCAAGGAGAAAACAGAGGAAAAGUUCGACUCGGAGAACUUUAAAUACAGUUCGGGUCUCUUUGUUCUCUGACCGAGCUUCAUAAAUCCUGGAUUAUCAAACACCUGGAGGCUGUUUUUAACUCUCACUGAGGAGUAAAACAUUCAUAUUUAUAGUAUGAGCCAGGAGGAGAGGUUUGAAGGUGAGAGGAGAUCAGGUGAGCGAGCGGUGUGGCCUCACCUGACUUAUAGAUCUAAUGAGAAGAGAGAUAAUCUGUGUCUUUAACAGACUCCUGAAUGUCUGUCAGUUCUGUGGAAAGAGAGAAAAGCUUAAAAAAAAGAUUUUCACAUCGAUAAGUUUAUGCAUGAAAGAAAAUCACAAGAGUGAGACGUACUGUGAAGAAAGUGUCUCCAAACGAUGAUAGAUGUCUUCAUUUUGUUCUCACAGAAGAACAGCAGAGCAGAGAGAGUCUGAACCUUCAGAACAAACUAAAUAAUGAAUCUUUAAAAACACAUCUUAACCUUCACCCGCUCUGUUAAAGCUCUUAUAUAUGUGUGUGUUUUAUUUACUGGCAGCAUGAAGACGUACAGACGUCAGUCAGAAGUCCACCCAGCAGGAGCUUCUCUGCGGCGAUCUUCAUCAUCAUGAUCUGAGUGACGGCCUGCAGGCAUUUCACACCG